Molecule: long non-coding RNA, 442 nt
Organism: Trachemys scripta elegans
Lineage: Eukaryota; Metazoa; Chordata; Testudines; Emydidae
Exons: 3
Source: RefSeq, a predicted model, not a curated record
GGGCGGGGGUCACUCCUCUUUGGGGGGAUGGGAGAGAGAGAGUACCUUGAGCAGCGAGACCUCCCUAUGGAUGCUCGUCCGGGAUACAAGCUUGUGAACUGAUUGAGGAACUGAGACUGAGAUCCAAGAGUCUCUCCACAGGUGAACAGGAAGAAGGACUGAAGGGCGACCAUGAGGAGAUUCCUGCUGUGGCUCCUGCUGCCCCUGUGGUGCACGAUGAAGGACGCAAGUAGUGUGCCAUGUAAAAGGGAGGAUUGGAUACUAAUAGGGCCAGUCGACUGAUCCUAGACAGCUUAAAGGAUCUGUCAAACUCUAUCCACCUCAGUGGAUAUAACAAAAUACUUGGGUCAAGAAUUCAGCAGCCUGUUAAUAAAUGGUACCCAAAUAAAGGAAUUGGAGGAAAGUUGUUGAAAUGCAGGGCAAACCUUGCCAUCACUACACA